Molecule: ribosomal RNA, 468 nt
Filed under: uncultured bacterium
Lineage: Bacteria
Description: partial 16S ribosomal RNA
Rfam family: Bacterial small subunit ribosomal RNA
Source: RNAcentral
GACGAACGCUGGCGGCGUGCUUAACACAUGCAAGUCGAACGGAAAGGCCCUGCUUUUGUGGGGUGCUCGAGUGGCGAACGGGUGAGUAACACGUGAGUAACCUGCCCUUUACUUUGGGAUAACUUCAGGAAACUGGGGCUAAUACCGGAUAGGAGCUCCUGCUGCAUGGUGGGGGUUGGAAAGUUUCGGCGGUUGGGGAUGGACUCGCGGCUUAUCAGCUUGUUGGUGGGGUAGUGGCUUACCAAGGCUUUGACGGGUAGCCGGCCUGAGAGGGUGACCGGAAACAUUGGGACUGAGAUACGGCCCAGACUCCUACGGGAGGCAGCAGUGGGGAAUAUUGCAAAAUGGGCGGAAGCCUGAUGCAGCAACGCAGCGUGCGGGAUGACGGCCUUCGGGUUGUAAACCGCUUUCGCCUGUGACGAAGCGUGAGUGACGGUAAUGGGUAAAGAAGCACCGGCUAACUACGUG